AGGGCCUGGGUUCCCCUUGGGGUGGUGUGCGGGGCUCCCACUCCCAUCUUCUUCGAUCUGCUCUGCCUCAGGGCUGGAGGCUCCCCGCGCCCUCGCAUCUGGUCGCCUGCCCCUCGCACCCCGCUCCGCCGAGCACGGACCCGAUCGGGGCGCCUUGGUUGCGAACUGCCAGGAGGGCCCUGAGGACACACGGGGAGAUGACUGUCACCGGAGAAACCGCCUCUGGCAGGAUGCGAAGCCUCUCCGCCACCUCCGGAAGAGAGAGGAGUGGGCAGCCGGCUGGCGGCACAGGCAGGGCGGGCAUCACAGCGAGCUCAGGUGAGAGGGAACCAGUUGCAAAGUGCAGUGUUGUGCUUGACAACUCCUUAGCCCCAGGCUUAUCGCUCCCGGUUAAAGUUGACUGGUCUUCUUAAAAGAACAUCAGGAAAAACACCUGCCAAGUAUGAAGGCUUGGCGUGGUGUUCCUUACGAGGCUGCCUGCUGGUGGCCCUGGGUGAGCUGGGAUCGGACUGGGGUCCCUCGGAGAGCAGAGGCCAUGCGUGGAGCACGUGGUAGCGUCUGGGGCCCCACGGCUGCCCCCUGAAGAGCAGGGCCCUGGCUGUUUUGCUCAAGGGCGAGAAGGGUGCUCAGGCACAUGGAGUCGCCUGGCUGUGGUUGGGCACUUUGCUGCUUUUUGGUUGUCAUCUGAGCAGGGAUGACAGCACAGUGGGCUAAGCAUUUAGAACCAGUCCGUGUGGACGCGGACCUCUCAGAGAACCGGAUUCUCUGGCGAGGCCAAGUGCAGAGAAGGGCCAGACACGCAGGCUUGGGUUCCAGGGUGUUCCCAGGAGCUUGGCCGGCUGGAUAGGCUAAGCGCUGGCCAGACCUGGUCGUGUGCUGGGGGGGUCUCUGGUCCGGGCAGCGGAAGGAGGCAGCGGGCGGGAGCCGUGCAUGCAGGCGGCGAGGGGGCGCUGUGGGCCAGCCUGCGGCCUUGGUCCCCAAUGCGGUGGCCCAGGCUCUGCCCCCGCGCCACUGACUGACGGCGAGUGCUCCCGCACCUGGCAUCACUGCCUCUUCCCACGUUGUUUUAAUUCAGGGAAGAAGGAAAAUAGUCCGAGGGCAUUUCAAUAAAACCUACGCGGCUCCUGA
Lemur catta (Ring-tailed lemur) is the source of this 1128-nucleotide long non-coding RNA. RefSeq lists it as uncharacterized. The transcript is spliced from 5 exons. The record is from RefSeq and is a predicted model, not a curated record. NCBI's taxonomy places the organism in Eukaryota, Metazoa, Chordata, Mammalia, Primates, Lemuridae.